This 90-nucleotide transfer RNA is filed under the name Erythrobacter sp. RNAcentral's name for it is "tRNA-Ser". It matches the Rfam family "tRNA". From Rfam's summary of the family: Transfer RNA (tRNA) molecules are approximately 80 nucleotides in length. Their secondary structure includes four short double-helical elements and three loops (D, anti-codon, and T loops). RNAcentral also lists the same sequence under 886 other names. Lineage: Bacteria; Pseudomonadati; Pseudomonadota; Alphaproteobacteria; Sphingomonadales; Erythrobacteraceae. The record is from RNAcentral.
GGAGACGUGGCCGAGUGGUCGAAGGCGCUCCCCUGCUAAGGGAGUAGGCCCGGAAGGGUCUCGAGGGUUCGAAUCCCUUCGUCUCCGCCA